CGGCCUACCAUGGUGGUAACGGGUAACGGGGUGUUAGGGCACGACACCGGAGAGGGAGCCUGAGAAACGGCUACCACAUCCAAGGAUGGCAGCAGGCGCGCAAAUUACCCAAUCCCGACACGGGGAGGUAGUGACAAUAAAUAACAAUACGGGGUCCUUUAGGGUUUCGUAAUUGGAAUGAGUACAAUUUAAAUCUCUUAACGAGGAACAAUUGGAGGGCAAGUCUGGUGCCAGCAGCCGCGGUAAUUCCAGCUCCAAUAGCGUAUAUUAAAGUUGUUGCAGUUAAAAAGCUCGUAGUUGAAUUUCGGGAUCAGUACGCUGGUCGUGCCUUCGGUAUGUACUGGUGUUACUGGUUCCUACCUUCUGACGAACCGUCAUGUCAUUAAUUUGGUGUGGCGGGGAAUCAGGACUGUUACUUUGAAAAAAUUAGAGUGUUUAAAGCAGGCUCGCGCUUGAAUACAUUAGCGUGGAAUAAUGAAAUAGGACGUUCGAUCCUAUUUUGUUGGUUUCUAGGAUUGACGUAAUGAUUAAUAGGGAUAGUUGGGGGCAUUAGUAUUCAAUUGUCAGAGGUGAAAUUCUUGGAUUUAUUGAAGACUAACUACUGCGAAAGCAUUUGCCAAGGAUGUUUUCAUUAAUCAAGAACGAAAGUUGGGGGAUCGAAGACGAUCAGAUACCGUCGUAGUCUUAACCAUAAACUAUGCCGACUAGGGAUCGGAUGAUGUUAAUUUUUUAAUGACUCAUUCGGCGCCUUACG
This 754-nucleotide ribosomal RNA is filed under the name uncultured Glomus. RNAcentral describes it as "SSU rRNA". It matches the Rfam family "Eukaryotic small subunit ribosomal RNA", at positions 337 to 1092 of the family's 1831-position model. Lineage: Eukaryota; Fungi; Glomeromycota; Glomeromycetes; Glomerales; Glomeraceae. The record is from RNAcentral.